This 497-nucleotide ribosomal RNA is filed under the name uncultured bacterium. RNAcentral's name for it is "partial 16S ribosomal RNA". It matches the Rfam family "Bacterial small subunit ribosomal RNA", at positions 28 to 507 of the family's 1533-position model. The record is from RNAcentral.
GAUGAACGCUGGCGGCGUGCCUAAUACAUGCAAGUCGAGCGAACAGACGAGGAGCUUGCUCCUCUGACGUUAGCGGCGGACGGGUGAGUAACACGUGGAUAACCUACCUAUAAGACUGGGAUAACUUCGGGAAACCGGAGCUAAUACCGGAUAAUAUAUUGAACCGCAUGGUUCAAUAGUGAAAGACGGUUUUGCUGUCACUUAUAGAUGGAUCCGCGCCGCAUUAGCUAGUUGGUAAGGUAACGGCUUACCAAGGCGACGAUGCGUAGCCGACCUGAGAGGGUGAUCGGCCACACUGGAACUGAGACACGGUCCAGACUCCUACGGGAGGCAGCAGUAGGGAAUCUUCCGCAAUGGGCGAAAGCCUGACGGAGCAACGCCGCGUGAGUGAUGAAGGUCUUCGGAUCGUAAAACUCUGUUAUUAGGGAAGAACAAAUGUGUAAGUAACUAUGCACGACUUGACGGUACCUAAUCAGAAAGCCACGGCUAACUACGUG